UUUUUAAGUCUGAUGUGAAAGCCCACGGCUCAACCGUGGAGGGUCAUUGGAAACUGGAAAACUUGAGUGCAGAAGAGGAAAGUGGAAUUCCAUGUGUAGCGGUGAAAUGCGCAGAGAUAUGGAGGAACACCAGUGGCGAAGGCGACUUUCUGGUCUGUAACUGACGCUGAUGUGCGAAAGCGUGGGGAUCAAACAGGAUUAGAUACCCUGGUAGUCCACGCCGUAAACGAUGAGUGCUAAGUGUUAGGGGGUUUCCGCCCCUUAGUGCUGCAGCUAACGCAUUAAGCACUCCGCCGGGGGAGUACGACCGCAAGGUUGAAACUCAAAGGAAUUGACGGGGACCCGC
Molecule: ribosomal RNA, 346 nt
Filed under: Staphylococcus aureus
Lineage: Bacteria; Bacillati; Bacillota; Bacilli; Caryophanales; Staphylococcaceae
Description: bacterial SSU rRNA
Rfam family: Bacterial small subunit ribosomal RNA
Source: RNAcentral